This 253-nucleotide ribosomal RNA is filed under the name uncultured bacterium. RNAcentral describes it as "partial 16S ribosomal RNA". It matches the Rfam family "Bacterial small subunit ribosomal RNA", at positions 524 to 776 of the family's 1533-position model. The record is from RNAcentral.
UACGAAGGGGGCUAGCGUUGCUCGGAAUCACUGGGCGUAAAGCGCACGUAGGCGGAUUGCUAAGUCAGGGGUGAAAUCCUGGAGCUCAACUCCAGAACUGCCUUUGAUACUGGCAAUCUCGAGUCCGGGAGAGGUGAGUGGAACUGCGAGUGUAGAGGUGAAAUUCGUAGAUAUUCGGAAGAACACCAGUGGCGAAGGCGACUUACUGGACACAUAUUGACGCUGAGGUGCGAAAGCGUGGGGAGCAAACAGG